Molecule: signal recognition particle RNA, 98 nt
Filed under: Sulfurimonas sp.
Lineage: Bacteria; Pseudomonadati; Campylobacterota; Epsilonproteobacteria; Campylobacterales; Sulfurimonadaceae
Description: signal recognition particle sRNA small type
Rfam family: Bacterial small signal recognition particle RNA
About the family: The signal recognition particle (SRP) is a universally conserved ribonucleoprotein involved in the co-translational targeting of proteins to membranes.
Source: RNAcentral
UCUUUAGACCUGUGCAAUGGUGUCCAAGGGUACUGUGUCAGGGUAGGAAUACAGCAGCACGCCUUUGUGCAUUAUGUGCCGCAGGUAUCUGGAGAGAA